This 530-nucleotide ribosomal RNA is filed under the name Dactylogyrus vastator. RNAcentral's name for it is "bacterial SSU rRNA". It matches the Rfam family "Eukaryotic small subunit ribosomal RNA", at positions 1331 to 1831 of the family's 1831-position model. The record is from RNAcentral. Lineage: Eukaryota; Metazoa; Platyhelminthes; Monogenea; Dactylogyridea; Dactylogyridae.
ACACGAGAGACUCUAACCUUGCUAAACUAGUACAGUUGCAAUUGUUAUGUGGACCUCUGUCCCUUGUGCCUCUGGUGCAGAGACGGAACCACAUAAGCAGGUGAAACUUCUUAGAGGAACUGGCGCCCGAAAAGGCGCACGAGAAAGAGCAAUAACAGGUCUGUGAUGCCCAUAAGAUGUCCGGGGCCGCACGCGUGCUACAAUGACGAUGCUACUGAGCAUGAUUUACUUGUCCGAAAGGAUUGGUGAAACUGUUCAAUCAUCGUCGUGACUGGGAUUGAGGUUUGUAAUUAUCCCUCAUGAACCAGGAAUUCCUAGUAAGCACAAGUCAUAAGCUUGUGCUGAUUACGUCCCUGCCCUUUGUACACACCGCCCGUCGCUACUACCGAUUGAAUGGUUUAGCAAGGACAUUGGAUCGAGCCUUUGCGGUUCACGCUGCUUUGGUUUGAGAAGAUGUCCGAACUUGAUCAUUUAGAGGAAGUAAAAGUCGUAACAAGGUUUCCGUAGGUGAACCUGCGGAAGGAUCAUUA